GCUUUUUAUCUCAAAUAUGUUGUUUGCUUCUACCAAUAUGUCUGAGUAAUCUGCUUGUUAGGAAUAGGAUUUCUCAUUAGGGAUUCAUAUGGUUUAGUAGAUUGCCUCCUUGCUAGGUUAUCUGUAGAAUUCUUCAUCUUUAAUUGUGCUUAAUGCUAG
Molecule: small RNA, 159 nt
Filed under: Arabidopsis thaliana (thale cress)
Lineage: Eukaryota; Viridiplantae; Streptophyta; Magnoliopsida; Brassicales; Brassicaceae
Description: ATSL202750
Source: RNAcentral